ACGCUGGCGGCAGGCCUAACACAUGCAAGUCGAGCGGUAGAGAGAAGCUUGCUUCUCUUGAGAGCGGCGGACGGGUGAGUAAUGCCUAGGAAUCUGCCUGGUAGUGGGGGAUAACGUUCGGAAACGGACGCUAAUACCGCAUACGUCCUACGGGAGAAAGCAGGGGACCUUCGGGCCUUGCGCUAUCAGAUGAGCCUAGGUCGGAUUAGCUAGUUGGUGGGGUAAUGGCUCACCAAGGCGACGAUCCGUAACUGGUCUGAGAGGAUGAUCAGUCACACUGGAACUGAGACACGGUCCAGACUCCUACGGGAGGCAGCAGUGGGGAAUAUUGGACAAUGGGCGAAAGCCUGAUCCAGCCAUGCCGCGUGUGUGAGGAAGGUCUUCGGAUUGUAAAGCACUUUAAGUUGGGUGGAAGGGUUGUAGAUUAAUACUCUGCAAUUUUGACGUUACCGACAGAAUAAGCACCGGCUAACUCUGUGCCAGCAGCCGCGGUAAUACAGAGGGUGCAAGCGUUAAUCGGAAUUACUGGGCGUAAAGCGCGCGUAGGUGGUUAGUUAAGUUGGAUGUGAAAUCCCCGGGCUCAACCUGGGAACUGCAUUCAAAACUGACUGACUAGAGUAUGGUAGAGGGGUGGUGGAAUUUCCUGUGUAGCGGGUGAAAUGCGUAGAUAUAGGAAGGAACACCAGUGGCGAAGGCGACCACCUGGACUGAUACUGACACUGAGGUGCGAAAGCGUGGGGAGCAAAC
RNAcentral lists this ribosomal RNA (747 nucleotides) under uncultured bacterium. RNAcentral describes it as "bacterial SSU rRNA". It matches the Rfam family "Bacterial small subunit ribosomal RNA", at positions 33 to 773 of the family's 1533-position model. The record is from RNAcentral.